CAGUCAUGCAACAUUCUGACAUAUGCUGAUCACAAGCCUGCUCUACUGCUUUAGCAGUGGUGACAGACUCAUGAGAUGAAAGAUGGGAGGCCGAAGCAACAGCAACCGCCGCCCUACAUUAUCUCACCUGAGGAUAAGACAGCAUAAAGUAUAGCAAUUAUGAUAUCCAUAUCUCAGUCAUUUAGCUAUCCAUCUAAAUUUGAUAUCAGAGAUCAUAAUGAUGUUAUUGGUUCCUGCAAAAGGUUGGCACUCAUUUCUUUGCUUGACUGCCUCCUCAGUCUCUCCUGAAUGCAGUCUCUAAUGGCAGUUUCCUGUCAGCAAAACACCACAGACAAUUGAGUGCAAGCCAGAUGUAAACUGUAAUUACAACAGAGGCAGAAGGUUAAACUCUGAUAACCCACCAUGAUAUGACAUCCUCAAAUUUCUCAAGAAAUCCUGCAUCUGUCACAGUUCCACAUAAUGUAACACCUCUAUGAAUUGGGGAAAAAACAGGAGUCAAUAAUACUAUACAGAAAAAUUCUCAAAAAAUUACACUAUCCAGGAAGGGG
RNAcentral lists this long non-coding RNA (548 nucleotides) under Phoenix dactylifera (date palm). RNAcentral describes it as "long non-coding RNA (PDAC_LNC005405)". The record is from RNAcentral. Lineage: Eukaryota; Viridiplantae; Streptophyta; Magnoliopsida; Arecales; Arecaceae.